Podarcis lilfordi (Lilford's wall lizard) is the source of this 74-nucleotide non-coding RNA. Lineage: Eukaryota; Metazoa; Chordata; Lepidosauria; Squamata; Lacertidae. The record is from the annotation of a GenBank genome assembly.
ACCUUUGUGUUGCAAUGGGUCAGUGCAUCUGGCUGUUAACCAGAAGACUGGUGAUUCAAGCCCACCUAGGGAUA